This 253-nucleotide ribosomal RNA is filed under the name uncultured bacterium. Its description in RNAcentral is "partial 16S ribosomal RNA". It matches the Rfam family "Bacterial small subunit ribosomal RNA", at positions 524 to 776 of the family's 1533-position model. The record is from RNAcentral.
UACGUAGGGUGCGAGCGUUAAUCGGAAUUACUGGGCGUAAAGCGUGCGCAGGCGGUUCGUUGUGUCGGCGGUGAAAGCCCCGGGCUCAACCUGGGAAUGGCCGUUGAAACUGGCGAACUGGAGUGUGGCAGAGGGGGGUGGAAUUCCGCGCGUAGCAGUGAAAUGCGUAGAUAUCUGGAGGAACACCGGUGGCGAAGGCGGCAUCCUGGACCAACACUGACGCUGAUGAGCGAAAGCCAGGGGAGCAAACGGG